UUGUGAAAUCAGAGUAUCUAAAAGGUUGGAGCUCUGGGGAAAAAGUGUAGUUGGAGUGUUAGCAGUGGUCCUAGGGUAUCUGUGUUACUCCUCAAUGCAAAUGUGACAUGCUAGCAAAGAAUAACUGAGCAGACACUGGCAUUACUGGGAAGUGUGCAGACAUCAGUGGUCCAUGGAGUUCGGUUCAGUUGUGAUACUAAACUGACCCAUAGCAAUUUGCAGAGAAUUUCAGGAUUGGUGGCUGAGGAAGCGAGGAAAGGCAGGCAGCUGUCUCUGAAAUAAUGUGACUUGGAUUGCUGUGAAUCUCUGUCUCUUCUUGCACUGCUGUUCUAUAUCUGUGUAUAUCACUAUGUAAACUAGUGAAAUUACAGUGAUAGAAGAGAAAGCAAAAAAAAAAACACCACCCCCAAACUUCUGUUGUAGUAAUUCAGAGAAAAUAAAUGACAUAGUAAGAAAGCCUUAUUGUGACUUAAAAAUAACAUUUUCCUGUUAUAAAACUCCAAUAUUAACUAUGUAGUAGGCAUGAGAAGGGAAAAAAGGCCUGAUAGAAAAUCAGAAAAGUGCCUGAAAAUCAGGGUCACUUUAGAGGCUUUCAUGAUUUGCUGUAAUGUGACAUAAACCAUCUAUUGUGUUUUUGCUGGCAAAUUUGUAGCGGAGGUCAAUGUAGCAGAAAAUAAAAGUUGAGAAAACAUA
This is a long non-coding RNA of Harpia harpyja (harpy eagle), 693 nucleotides long. RefSeq lists it as uncharacterized. The record is from RefSeq and is a predicted model, not a curated record. NCBI's taxonomy places the organism in Eukaryota, Metazoa, Chordata, Aves, Accipitriformes, Accipitridae. The transcript has 2 exons.